GUUCAAACCGGCGUAAGCCAGGUUGGUUUCUAUCUUUAAAAAAUUAAAAUAUUUCAGUACGAAAGGACCUAAUAUUUGAUAAAUUAUUAUUUUUAUAUUGAAUAUAAUUAAUAUAAAUAACUAUU
RNAcentral lists this ribosomal RNA (125 nucleotides) under Chrysomya megacephala (oriental latrine fly). Its description in RNAcentral is "partial 16S ribosomal RNA". The record is from RNAcentral. Lineage: Eukaryota; Metazoa; Arthropoda; Insecta; Diptera; Calliphoridae.